UUUAUACUCUCUUCGUCCGAAAAAGCUUGUCCUUUAAAUGGAUGUAUCUAGCACCAAGCUAGUGCUAGAUACAUCCAUUUAAACCAUUUAAGGGACAAUUUUUUUCGGACGAAGGAAGUAUAUU
This is a non-coding RNA of Triticum urartu, 124 nucleotides long. Lineage: Eukaryota; Viridiplantae; Streptophyta; Magnoliopsida; Poales; Poaceae. The record is from Rfam.